RNAcentral lists this ribosomal RNA (120 nucleotides) under Aotus nancymaae (Ma's night monkey). The record is from RNAcentral. Lineage: Eukaryota; Metazoa; Chordata; Mammalia; Primates; Aotidae.
GCCUACAGCCAUACCACCCUGAAUGCACCCGAUCUUGUCUGAUCUUGGAAGCUAAGUAGGGUCGGGUCUGGUUAGUACUUGGAUGGGAGACUACCUGGGAACACCGGGGUUCUGUAGGCU